UACGGAGGGAGCUAGCGUUAUUCGGAAUUACUGGGCGUAAAGCGCACGUAGGCGGCUUUGUAAGUUAGAGGUGAAAGCCUGAAGCUCAACUUCAGAAUUGCCUUUAAGACUGCAUCGCUUGAAUCCAGGAGAGGUGAGUGGAAUUCCGAGUGUAGAGGUGAAAUUCGUAGAGAUCGGGAGGAACACCAGAGGCGAAAGCGGCGACCUGGACAGGUACUGACACUCAACUACGAAAGCGUGGGGAGCAAACAGG
RNAcentral lists this ribosomal RNA (253 nucleotides) under uncultured bacterium. Its description in RNAcentral is "partial 16S ribosomal RNA". It matches the Rfam family "Bacterial small subunit ribosomal RNA", at positions 524 to 776 of the family's 1533-position model. The record is from RNAcentral.